This 429-nucleotide ribosomal RNA is filed under the name Chloroflexota bacterium. RNAcentral's name for it is "Chloroflexi bacterium partial 16S ribosomal RNA". It matches the Rfam family "Bacterial small subunit ribosomal RNA", at positions 355 to 776 of the family's 1533-position model. Lineage: Bacteria; Bacillati; Chloroflexota. The record is from RNAcentral.
UGGGGAAUAUUGCACAAUGGGCGCAAGCCUGAUGCAGCCAUGCCGCGUGUAUGAAGAAGGCCUUCGGGUUGUAAAGUACUUUCAGUCGGGAGGAAGGUGGUAAGGUUAAUAACCUUAUCAAUUGACGUUACCGACAGAAGAAGCACCGGCUAACUCCGUGCCAGCAGCCGCGGUAAUACGGAGGGUGCAAGCGUUAAUCGGAAUUACUGGGCGUAAAGCGCACGCAGGCGGUUGAUUGAGUCAGAUGUGAAAUCCCCGGGCUCAACCUGGGAACUGCAUCUGAUACUGGCAAGCUUGAGUCUCGUAGAGGGGGGUAGAAUUCCAGGUGUAGCGGUGAAUUGCGUAGAGAUCUGGAGGAAUACCGGUGGCGAAGGCGGCCCCCUGGACGAAGACUGACGCUCAGGUGCGAAAGCGUGGGGAGCAAACAGG